UAGGGAAUCUUCCACAAUGGACGAAAGUCUGAUGGAGCAACGCCGCGUGAGUGAAGAAGGGUUUCGGCUCGUAAAACACUGUUGUAAGAGAAGAAUGACAUUGAGAGUAACUGUUCAAUGUGUGACGGUAUCUUACCAGAAAGGAACGGCUAAAUACGUGCCAN
RNAcentral lists this ribosomal RNA (164 nucleotides) under uncultured bacterium. RNAcentral's name for it is "partial 16S ribosomal RNA". It matches the Rfam family "Bacterial small subunit ribosomal RNA", at positions 355 to 511 of the family's 1533-position model. The record is from RNAcentral.